GAUGAAGAACGUAGCGAAAUGCGAUACGUAAUGUGAAUUGCAGAAUUCAGUGAAUCAUCGAAUCUUUGAACGCAUAUUGCGCUCUCUGGUAUUCCGGAGAGCAUGCUUGUUUGAGUAUCAGUAAACACCUCAACUCCCUUUCUUUUUGAAAUGGAGCUGGACUUGAGUGAUCCCAACGCUUUAUUUAUACAGUGGCGGGUUACUUGAAAUGCAGGUGCAGCUGAACUUUUCUCUGAGCUAUAAGCAUAUCUAUUUAGUCUGCCUCAAAACAGAUUAUUACCUUUGCUGCAGCUAACAUAAAGGAGAUUAGUUCUUGUGCUGACUGAUGCAGGAUUCACAAAGACCGCUUCGGCUGUCUUUGUAAACUCGAUCUCAAAUCAAGUAAGACUACCCGCUGAACUUAAGCAUAUCAAUAAGCGGAGGA
This 424-nucleotide unclassified non-coding RNA is filed under the name soil metagenome. RNAcentral's name for it is "partial contains 5.8S ribosomal RNA, internal transcribed spacer 2, and large subunit ribosomal RNA". The stretch from base 1 to 120 matches the Rfam family "5.8S ribosomal RNA", at positions 35 to 154 of the family's 154-position model. The record is from RNAcentral.